Molecule: ribosomal RNA, 640 nt
Filed under: uncultured bacterium
Lineage: Bacteria
Description: bacterial SSU rRNA
Rfam family: Bacterial small subunit ribosomal RNA
Source: RNAcentral
UAGAGUUUGAUCAUGGCUCAGAACGAACGCUGGCGGCAGGCCUAACACAUGCAAGUCGAGCGCACCUUCGGGUGAGCGGCGGACGGGUUAGUAACGCGUGGGAACGUGCCCUUUUCUGCGGAAUAGCCACUGGAAACGGUGAGUAAUACCGCAUACGCCCUUCGGGGGAAAGAUUUAUCGGAGAAGGAUCGGCCCGCGUUAGAUUAGGUAGUUGGUGGGGUAAUGGCCUACCAAGCCUACGAUCUGUAGCUGGUUUGAGAGGAUGAUCAGCAACACUGGGACUGAGACACGGCCCAGACUCCUACGGGAGGCAGCAGUGGGGAAUCUUAGACAAUGGGGGCAACCCUGAUCUAGCCAUGCCGCGUGAGUGAUGAAGGCCUUAGGGUCGUAAAGCUCUUUCGCUGGGGAUGAUAAUGACAGUACCCAGUAAAGAAACCCCGGCUAACUCCGUGCCAGCAGCCGCGGUAAUACGGAGGGGGUUAGCGUUGUUCGGAAUUACUGGGCGUAAAGCGCACGUAGGCGGACUGGAAAGUUAGAGGUGAAAUCCCGGGGCUCAACCCCGGAACUGCCUUUAAAACUAUCAGUCUAGAGUUCGAGAGAGGUGAGUGGAAUUCCGAGUGUAGAGGUGAAAUUCGUAGAU